UACGUAGGGCGCAAGCGUUGUCCGGAAUUAUUGGGCGUAAAGAGCUCGUAGGUGGCUUGUCGCGUCUGCCGUGAAAGCCCAUGGCUUAACUGUGGGUCUGCGGUGGAUACGGGCAGGCUGGAGGCUGGUAGGGGCGAGCGGAACGCUGGGUGGAGCGGUGAAAUGCGUUGAUAUCCAGCGGAACUCCGGUGGCGAAGGCGGCUCGCUGGGCCCUCUCUGACGCUGAGGCGCGAAAGCCAGGGGAGCGAACGGG
This 253-nucleotide ribosomal RNA is filed under the name uncultured bacterium. RNAcentral describes it as "partial 16S ribosomal RNA". It matches the Rfam family "Bacterial small subunit ribosomal RNA", at positions 524 to 776 of the family's 1533-position model. The record is from RNAcentral.